UGUAAACGAUGUCGAUUUGGAGUUUGUGCCCUAGAGUGAUGGGCUCCGAAGCUAACGCGAUAAAUCGACCGCCUGGGGAGUACGGCCGCAAGGUUAAAACUCAAAUGAAUUGACGGGGGCCCGCACAAGCGGUGGAGCAUGUGGUUUAAUUCGAUGCAACGCGAAGAACCUUACCUGGUCUUGACAUCCAUAGAAUUCUGCAGAGAUGUGGGAGUGCCUUCGGGAACUAUGAGACAGGUGCUGCAUGGCUGUCGUCAGCUCGUGUUGUGAAAUGUUGGGUUAAGUCCCGCAACGAGCGCAACCCUUAUUCUUUGUUGCCAGCGAUUUGGUCGGGAACUCAAAGGAGACUGCCGUUGAUAAAGCGGAGGAAGGUGGGGACGACGUCAAGUCAUCAUGGCCCUUACGACCAGGGCUACACACGUGCUACAAUGGCGUAUACAAAGGGAAGCGAAGGUGCGAGCUGGAGCGGAUCUCAUAAAGUACGUCUAAGUUCGGAUUGGAGUCUGCAACUCGACUCCAUGAAGUCGGAAUCGCUAGUAAUCGUAGAUCAGAAUGCUACGGUGAAUACGUUCCCGGGCCUUGUACACACCGCCCGUCACACCAUGGGAGUGGGUUGCACCAGAAGUAGAUAGCUUAACCGCGAGGGGGGCGUUUACCACGGUGUGAUUCAUGACUGGGGUGAAGUCGUAACAAGGUAACCA
Molecule: ribosomal RNA, 701 nt
Filed under: uncultured Enterobacteriaceae bacterium
Lineage: Bacteria; Pseudomonadati; Pseudomonadota; Gammaproteobacteria; Enterobacterales; Enterobacteriaceae
Description: bacterial SSU rRNA
Rfam family: Bacterial small subunit ribosomal RNA
Source: RNAcentral